Molecule: ribosomal RNA, 766 nt
Filed under: uncultured Streptococcus sp.
Lineage: Bacteria; Bacillati; Bacillota; Bacilli; Lactobacillales; Streptococcaceae
Description: bacterial SSU rRNA
Rfam family: Bacterial small subunit ribosomal RNA
Source: RNAcentral
GACGAACGCUGGCGGCGUGCCUAAUACAUGCAAGUAGAACGCUGAAGAGAGGAGCUUGCUCUUCUUGGAUGAGUUGCGAACGGGUGAGUAACGCGUAGGUAACCUGCCUUGUAGCGGGGGAUAACUAUUGGAAACGAUAGCUAAUACCGCAUAACAAUGGAUGACACAUGUCAUUUAUUUGAAAGGGGCAAUUGCUCCACUACAAGAUGGACCUGCGUUGUAUUAGCUAGUAGGUGAGGUAACGGCUCACCUAGGCGACGAUACAUAGCCGACCUGAGAGGGUGAUCGGCCACACUGGGACUGAGACACGGCCCAGACUCCUACGGGAGGCAGCAGUAGGGAAUCUUCGGCAAUGGGGGCAACCCUGACCGAGCAACGCCGCGUGAGUGAAGAAGGUUUUCGGAUCGUAAAGCUCUGUUGUAAGUCAAGAACGAGUGUGAGAGUGGAAAGUUCACACUGUGACGGUAGCUUACCAGAAAGGGACGGCUAACUACGUGCCAGCAGCCGCGGUAAUACGUAGGUCCCGAGCGUUGUCCGGAAUUAUUGGGCGUAAAGGGCUUGUAGGCGGUUGGUCGCGUCUGCCGUGAAAUCCUCUGGCUUAACUGGGGGCGUGCGGUGGGUACGGGCUGACUUGAGUGCGGUAGGGGAGACUGGAACUCCUGGUGUAGCGGUGGAAUGCGCAGAUAUCAGGAAGAACACCGGUGGCGAAGGCGGGUCUCUGGGCCGUUACUGACGCUGAGGAGCGAAAGCGUGGGGAGCGAACAGG